GACGAACGCUGGCGGCGUGCUUAACACAUGCAAGUCGAACGGAAAGGCCCUGCUUGCAGGGUACUCGAGUGGCGAACGGGUGAGUAACACGUGGGUGAUCUGCCCUGCACUUCGGGAUAAGCUUGGGAAACUGGGUCUAAUACCGGAUAGGAGCCAUCUUUAGUGUGGUGGUUGGAAAGUUUUUUCGGUGUAGGAUGAGCUCGCGGCCUAUCAGCUUGUUGGUGGGGUAAUGGCCUACCAAGGCGGCGACGGGUAGCCGGCCUGAGAGGGUGUACGGCCACAUUGGGACUGAGAUACGGCCCAGACUCCGACGGGAGGCAGCAGUGGGGAAUAUUGCACAAUGGGCGCAAGCCUGAGGCAGCGACGCCGCGUGGGGGAUGAAGGCCUUCGGGUUGUAAACUCCUUUCGCUAGGGAAGAAGCUUUGUUGUGACGGUACCUAGAUAAGAAGCACCGGCUAACUACGUG
This 466-nucleotide ribosomal RNA is filed under the name uncultured bacterium. RNAcentral's name for it is "partial 16S ribosomal RNA". It matches the Rfam family "Bacterial small subunit ribosomal RNA", at positions 28 to 507 of the family's 1533-position model. The record is from RNAcentral.